This 253-nucleotide ribosomal RNA is filed under the name uncultured bacterium. Its description in RNAcentral is "partial 16S ribosomal RNA". It matches the Rfam family "Bacterial small subunit ribosomal RNA", at positions 524 to 776 of the family's 1533-position model. The record is from RNAcentral.
UACGUAGGGGGCUAGCGUUGUCCGGAAUCAUUGGGCGUAAAGCGCGUGUAGGCGGUUCGGUAAGUCCGCUGUGAAAGUCGAGGGCUCAACCCUCGAAAGCCGGUGGAUACUGUCGGGCUAGAGUGCGGAAGGGGCAACUGGAAUUCUCGGUGUAGCGGUGAAAUGCGUAGAUAUCGAGAGGAACACCUGCGGCGAAGGCGGGUUGCUGGGCCGACACUGACGCUGAGGCGCGAAAGCGUGGGGAGCGAACAGG